AAUCGAAGCAGUGAACUUAAGCCCCAGUAAACGGCGGCCGUAACUAUAACGGUCCUAAGGUAGCGAAAUUCCUUGUCGGGUAAGUUCCGACCCGCACGAAAGGCGUAACGAUUUGGGCACUGUCUCAACAACAGACUCGGUGAAAUUGUAAUUCCGGUGAAGAUGCCGGAUACCUGCGACAGGACGGAAAGACCCCAUGGAGCUUUACUGUAGCUUGACAUUGGGUCUUGGUACUACAUGUACAGGAUAGGUGGGAGGCUUUGAAACCAGGACGCCAGUUUUGGCGGAGCCAUCCUUGGGAUACCACCCUUGUAGUACUGGGACUCUAACCAUAGGCCAUGAAUCUGGUCUUGGGACACUGUCAGGUGGGCAGUUUGACUGGGGCGGUCGCCUCCCAAAAGGUAACGGAGGCGCUCAAAGGUUCUCUCAGUACGGUCGGAAAUCGUACGUAGAGUGUAAAGGCAAAAGAGAGCUUGAUUGCAAGACAUACAGGUCGAGCAAGGAUGAAAAUCGGACUUAGUGAUCCGGUGGUUCUGCGUGGAAGGGCCAUCGCUCAACGGAUAAAAGCUACCCUGGGGAUAACAGGCUUAUCUCCCCCAAGAGUCCACAUCGACGGGGAGGUUUGGCACCUCGAUGUCGGCUCAUCACAUCCUGGGGCUGUAGUAGGUCCCAAGGGUUGGGCUGUUCGCCCAUUAAAGUGGUACGCGAGCUGGGUUCAGAACGUCGUG
Molecule: ribosomal RNA, 728 nt
Filed under: Clostridioides difficile
Lineage: Bacteria; Bacillati; Bacillota; Clostridia; Peptostreptococcales; Peptostreptococcaceae
Also listed under: 1 other name
Description: partial 23S ribosomal RNA
Rfam family: Bacterial large subunit ribosomal RNA
Source: RNAcentral